Molecule: long non-coding RNA, 308 nt
Organism: Rhipicephalus sanguineus (brown dog tick)
Lineage: Eukaryota; Metazoa; Arthropoda; Arachnida; Ixodida; Ixodidae
Exons: 3
Source: RefSeq, a predicted model, not a curated record
GCUUUUAGUCAAAUGUGGUUUUAUAAUAAUUCGUCUAAAAGAUGCACGGCGCUUACUUCCGAAGGCUGUAAACCUGGAACAAGAUACUUUCCUAACAUCAGCGAUUGCAACCGGCACUGCCGUGACCCCAUUUAUGGCAGGUGCGCUACGAAACGCUUACGCCUAAAAAGAUGCUUACAACAACAACUGAAAGUCCGCUUCAACCCAGACAACCAAAGUUGCGAAUGGUACCCGACAGGUUGCGGCCGGGAGAAACAUUCGUUCGAUAAUAUGAACGAGUGUUACGAGGAAUGUGGAAAAUUUGUUAC